RNAcentral lists this small nuclear RNA (107 nucleotides) under Octodon degus (degu). Lineage: Eukaryota; Metazoa; Chordata; Mammalia; Rodentia; Octodontidae. The record is from RNAcentral.
GUGCUCGCUUCGGCAGCACAUAUACUAAAAUUGGAACGAUACAGAGAAGAUCAGCAUGGCCCCUGUGCAAGGAUGACAUGCAAAUUCGUGAAGCAUUCCAUACUUUU